RNAcentral lists this ribosomal RNA (251 nucleotides) under uncultured Actinomycetales bacterium. RNAcentral describes it as "partial 16S ribosomal RNA". It matches the Rfam family "Bacterial small subunit ribosomal RNA", at positions 82 to 334 of the family's 1533-position model. The record is from RNAcentral. Lineage: Bacteria; Bacillati; Actinomycetota; Actinomycetes; Actinomycetales.
UUGGGGUGCUCGAGUGGCGAACGGGUGAGUAACACGUGAGUAACCUGCCCUUGACUUUGGGAUAACUUCAGGAAACUGGGGCUAAUACCGGAUAGGAGCUCCUGCUGCAUGGUGGGGGUUGGAAAGUUUCGGCGGUUGGGGAUGGACUCGCGGCUUAUCAGCUUGUUGGUGGGGUAGUGGCUUACCAAGGCUUUGACGGGUAGCCGGCCUGAGAAGGUGACCGGCCACAUUGGGACUGAGAUACGGCCCAG